GUUGGUCUGAUUAGCAGACGGUUUCAAAGUUAGUUUUUUAUUUCUCAUCUAUGUUAGUGCCGCCCUUAGCCUUUCUCUUUGAGUUUUAUUCGAAAUUUGAUUUGUUUCUGCAACUCAGCCUCUAUCGCCGAAAGGCUCAUUGAAAAAGGUAAUAAUUAUGUCUGAUAAAAUCACUGGCACCGUAAAAUGGUUCAACGCUGAAAAAGGUUUUGGCUUCAUCUCUCCUGAGAAUGGCAGCAAAGACGUUUUCGUUCACUAUUCCGCUAUUCAAAGCAAUGAUUUUCGUACGCUUGACGAAGGCCAGCGCGUUGAGUUCUCAAUUGAGAACGGCCCUAAAGGCCCGGCAGCAGCGAAUGUAACAGGAAUUUAAGAUUAUUUUAAUUUUACAACAUUUAAGAUGUCCGCACUGUCAUGGUUCACAGUACCGGACUUCUGCUU
Molecule: non-coding RNA, 438 nt
Organism: Izhakiella sp.
Lineage: Bacteria; Pseudomonadati; Pseudomonadota; Gammaproteobacteria; Enterobacterales; Erwiniaceae
Source: Rfam